AGAGUUUGAUCCUGGCUCAGAUUGAACGCUGGCGGAAUGCUUUACACAUGCAAGUCGAACGGCAGCACGGGUGCUUGCACCUGGUGGCGAGUGGCGAACGGGUGAGUAAUACGUAGGAACAUAUCCUGUAAUGGGGGAUAACGCACCGAAAGGUGUGCUAAUACCGCAUACGCCCUGAGGGGGAAAGCGGGGGAUCUUCGGACCUCGCGUUAUAGGAGUGGCCUACGGCUGAUUAGCUAGUUGGUGAGGUAAAGGCUCACCAAGGCGACGAUCAGUAGCUGGUCUGAGAGGAUGAUCAGCCACACUGGAACUGAGACACGGUCCAGACUCCUACGGGAGGCAGCAGUGGGGAAUUUUGGACAAUGGGGGCAACCCUGAUCCAGCCAUUCCGCGUGAGUGAAGAAGGCCUUCGGGUUGUAAAGCUCUUUCAGCAGGGAAGAAACGGUUUUAGCGAAUACCUAAGACUAAUGACGGUACCUGCAGAAGAAGCACCGGCUAACUACGUGCCAGCAGCCGCGGUAAUACGUAGGGUGCGAGCGUUAAUCGGAAUUACUGGACGUAAAGGGUGCGCAGGCGGUUUUGUAAGUCAGAUGUGAAAGCCCCGGGCUUAACCUGGGAAUUGCGUUUGAAACUACCUGGCUGGAGUUCGGGAGAGGAGAGUGGAAUUCCCGGUGUAGAGGUGAAAUUCGUAGAUAUCGGGAGGAACACCGGUGGCGAAGGCGGCUCUCUGGCCCGAUACUGACGCUGAGACGCGAAAGCGUGGGGAGCAAACAGGAUUAGAUACCCUGGGUAGUC
Molecule: ribosomal RNA, 795 nt
Filed under: uncultured bacterium
Lineage: Bacteria
Description: bacterial SSU rRNA
Rfam family: Bacterial small subunit ribosomal RNA
Source: RNAcentral